GUCUGAGCCAUGCUCGCGGCGAUGGGCUCUCUGGCGGCUGCCCUCUGGGCAGUGGUCCAUCCUCGGACUCUCCUGCUGGGCACUGUCGCCUUUCUGCUUGCUGCUGACUUUCUCAAAAGACGGCGCCCAAAGAACUACCCGCCGGGGCCCUGGCGCCUGCCCUUCCUUGGCAACUUCUUCCUUGUGAACUUCGAGCAGUCGCACCUGGAGGUUCAGCUGGUAGGAGCGGGAGAAGUUUGUGAAGAAAUAUGGGAACCUUUUUAGCUUGGAGCUUGGUGAUAUAUCUGCAGUUCUUAUUACUGGCUUGCCCUUAAUCAAAGAAGCCCUUAUCCACAUGGACCAAAACUUUGGGAACCGCCCCGUGACCCCUAUACGAGAACAUAUCUUUAAGAAAAAUGGAUUGAUUAUGUCAAGUGGCCAGGUAUGGAAGGAGCAAAGAAGGUUCACUCUGACAGCACUAAGGAACUUUGGUUUAGGAAAGAAGAGCUUAGAGGAACGCAUUCAGGAGGAGGCCCAACACCUCACUGAAGCAAUAAAAGAGGAGAACGGACAGCCUUUUGACCCUCAUUUCAAGAUCAACAAUGCAGUUUCCAAUAUCAUUUGCUCCAUCACCUUUGGAGAACGCUUUGAGUACCAGGAUAGUCGGUUUCAGCAGCUGCUGAAGUUACUGGAUGAAGUCACCUACUUGGAGGCUUCAAAGACAUGCCAGCUCUACAAUGUCUUUCCAUGGAUAAUGAAAUUCCUGCCUGGACCCCACCA
Molecule: small RNA, 759 nt
Filed under: Pongo abelii (Sumatran orangutan)
Lineage: Eukaryota; Metazoa; Chordata; Mammalia; Primates; Hominidae
Description: processed transcript
Source: RNAcentral